AAAGUCGGUCAGACAAUCGCUUUUCGCAAUUCGCGGAGAGAGGAAAGUCCGGGCUCCACAGGGCAAAGCGCCAGGUAACACCUGGGAGGCGCGAGCCUACGGAAAGUGCCACAGAAAAUAUACCGCCUGUCCAAUCUUGGGUGGGUAAGGGUGAAAUGGUGCGGUAAGAGCGCACCGCAUUGCUGGUAACAGCAAUGGCAUGGAAAACCCCGCUUGGAGCAAGACCAAAUAGGAAUCCAUUGCAAUUUAUUGCAACACAUGGCCCAUGUGGGAUUCGGGUAGGUCGCUUGAGGCAAACGGUGACGUUUGUCCCAGAUGAAUGAUUGUCCGCGACAGAACCCGGCUUAUCGACCGACUUUGUUA
Non-coding RNA from Legionella londiniensis, 363 nucleotides. It matches the Rfam family "Bacterial RNase P class A". From Rfam's summary of the family: Ribonuclease P (RNase P) is a ubiquitous endoribonuclease, found in archaea, bacteria and eukarya as well as chloroplasts and mitochondria. The record is from Rfam. NCBI's taxonomy places the organism in Bacteria, Pseudomonadati, Pseudomonadota, Gammaproteobacteria, Legionellales, Legionellaceae.